RNAcentral lists this ribosomal RNA (291 nucleotides) under uncultured beta proteobacterium. RNAcentral's name for it is "partial 16S ribosomal RNA". It matches the Rfam family "Bacterial small subunit ribosomal RNA", at positions 9 to 310 of the family's 1533-position model. Lineage: Bacteria; Pseudomonadati; Pseudomonadota; Betaproteobacteria. The record is from RNAcentral.
GAGUUUGAUCCUGGCUCAGAUUGAACGCUGGCGGAAUGCUUUACACAUGCAAGUCGAGCGGCAGCGCGGGGCAACCUGGCGGCGAGCGGCGAACGGGUGAGUAAUGCAUCGGAACAUGUCCAUGUCGUGGGGGAGUAGCCCGGCGAAAGCCGGAUUAAUACCGCAUACGCCCGAGAGGGAAGCCGGGACCGCAGCCUGCGCGAUGGUUGGCCGAUGUCCGAUUAGCUAGUUGGCGGGGUAAGAGCCCACCAAGGCGAUGAUCGGUAGCUGGUCUGAGAGGAUGAUCAGCCA